CGCCGGCCGGCUAGAGGCAAAGGCUCCUCCUUCUGAGGCUGCAACGUCAGCGUCAUAAUGUCAUUACAUCAACGUCACAAGUCCGGGAGCCACCCACCUUCUGUUACAACUCCUACGUCAUUCGCCUAGUUCCCUCCCUUUGUGUGCGCGUUGUAUCAUCUUGAGGUCUACCAAGAAGAAGGAUGCCAAGAUCUGUGGGUGCACCGGCUUAUUCUCGGAUUUUGUUCUCACUUGAUUAGUUGUGUUUAGAAGUCAAAGGAGUAACAGCCAGAGGGGCUGAAGAAAUACCAGCUACAUGUUACCUCUGGGAAAAAAGGAUGUGUAUGGACUUGCCAUGCCUUCUGCUUAUUCCUCUUAAAAAAUGGAAUGCACUAUGAAUUUUUCAAAGAAACAGUUAGGUACCACAUCAAAGGACGUGACUGUAAAACCAGCGACCAUCCACGGUUCCAGCCAUGUCAACGGUCACAGAGCCCUGGCAAAGGGCAAUCUUGCUUCUGGGAGAUACUGUGUCCAGGCAGCAAUCUGCCAACGUCAUCGUUUCCUUUUAUGCCAGCUCAUCCAUCACGCAGGAGCUUGGAACAGGAGGACCAUGCAGUCAUCUGUGAUCAUGAACUGAGCCUGACGGGCUCUGCACUAGGGUCCUGGAUGGAGCUCUUUUUCAGAUGAUCGUCUUUUUAGCAGUGUAGAUUUAGAGAUUAGAAAAUGGGACAGGUUGCUUCUCAUGUACAAACGGAAGGCCACUGACCCUAGCUUGCUCAUGAGGCAACAGAAUGAUUAAUGCUGACCUGUCUUUUCCUCCCUGACCUGCUUCCCAGGGGAGGAAGUGCACAUAGCAGUUUGGUCACUGACCAGAGUUCAGAGAGAGAGCAGAACUGUGGGGUUUGUGAUGGGGGAAGAUACUCCCUAAGCAGGGGGCUGCCCCUGAUUGCAAAGCUUUUCUCCAGCUUGGGGAUUUGGCUACACUGCAUGACAAGGGUUGCCACAUGGCAGUCAUACACACUUUUAUCAUUUCAAGUUUGUGCCACCUCAUAUCUCUGUCAAGUUUUGCUUGCUCCCAGUUAGAGGGGGUUAAGAGGCUCAGCCAUUCUGAGAGCCAUGGACGUGGCCAACCUUUCAGCAUCUAACACCAAUCACUAUGAAUAACCUUAAGGUUUCUUAUUCUUUCAUUCCUGAUACCUAGAAAGCAGUACAAGAUUUUGCUUCAGGAACCAUUCACAUGCUCAUUUUCGUAUGAUCAGUGACCUCCUUUCGAACUCUGCACACCUGUACAAUAAGUUUUAGAUUCUCAGAGAAGUUGCAUGAUCUGAUAGUUUUGAGAGAAUUAAAAGGAUUCACAUAAAAGCAGAUAAUUAGCAAUUAUACUAGUAGAUGUCAAAAUACCUGAAAAGUUCUCCGUUCUCUUCAGAUGCCCAAGUAGAAAUCUGAUUCACAUGAUUUCCUUAGCACAUUUGUAAAAUGUGGAUGUGUGUGAAACUGUGUGUGAAACACACACACUUGUUACUCGGAGCACUGCAAGUUGGUUGGACCCUAAAUCAAUCUGUUAAGAAGAGAUAGUAAGAAGAAUGCCUUUCUGCGGCGGUUUGGGGCCACCCCUUGGUUUUGAGAACCAUGCCAGAGAGAGCAAAUGGCCCCUGGGUUAGCAGCCCGCGAGAAAGCAGACCUGCCGAGAGCACAGGCCAGGGCUCGCCUGACGAGGCUUGGCCGUCCUGACACAGAAUUCCCUCCGUACAACCACUCCCUUCUGAGCUAUGCAAAUGCCAUGCAAGCCCUCAGCCUUAAGAAAAAUGAGCACUCGCUUUAAGAAAGAAGGGACAAGUGCUCAAAUGAUCAAUUCCAAAACUAAGCAUAGUACAUGCCUACACACAGUGCCAAGUUAGAUUGUAUACACAAUGUAUAGCAAGAGCAGAAGUUUUACCAUCCAGGGACUUAGGAUCUAAUACUUCUCACAUAAACAAAAGAUGAAAAUAUAGUCUAGCCUUUCUUCUCCUGAGAUUAGACCUCAUAUGUUGGGGGGGCAGUGUAAGUGAGGGAAACAGUGGUUUGAAAUGUGGAAGUCUGCAUCCUGUCACUGUUAUGGUACCAGAGAACUCCGUAUGUCAGUGAUCUACCUAGAGAGCGAGGAGGGUAAUUACGUGCCCUCUAAAUUUCCCUUUCAGCUCCUGGCACUCUGAUUCUAUUGCCUCUCAUUUCCUCUGCUGGCAACAGAAUUCAGGAGAAAUGUGGACAAAGAACCUUCUAUGAGAUGGCUCAGUCAUUCCCAUCAGAGCCAUCCAUUGCGUCAGAGGAGGACAAUGCCCAGUCGCAGAAUCUAGCACAUUAUGGUAGAAAAAUAUCCGUACACAUCCAUGGCCUUUAAAAAUAAAACACUGUGAUAGUAUGCUUGGUGGAUUUCUUCACAUUCCGCCAGUGGGCAGAGGAAUAUAGCAAGGAGCUGACAGGUGUCUCUAACCCUCUUAAUUGGGUACUGAGGAAUUUUGUCACCGAUACUUCUUUGAUAUGUUUUCUUGUCUUUAAUCUCUCCACUUAAGUGAUCUGCUACAAAUAUCUGCACUUGAAAAAGCAAUAGAUAUGCCUAGUAGGUAAAGCAAGAAAUGUCCAUGCCAAAUCAACAGACUUCCCAAAGAAGUAAACUAGGAUUCUUUUCAAGGUGAAUUUCUCAUGAAAUAGAAGAAGGCGUCACAAAAAAAGGGGCCAGAGCACUUCUUCAAUACCGCUGGACCUCGGCUCACACUGACAGCUCCUUCAUCGCCAGAGAGGAUUAUUUUAACCCAUUUCCUUAAGGAUGCUCUGGAUUAUAUUUUGCAAGUCAUUAAUAAAUUCAGACUAAACAGCUGCUAAAUAAAGUUUCUUCACAUAA
Suricata suricatta (meerkat) is the source of this 2857-nucleotide long non-coding RNA. RefSeq lists it as uncharacterized. The record is from RefSeq and is a predicted model, not a curated record. Lineage: Eukaryota; Metazoa; Chordata; Mammalia; Carnivora; Herpestidae. The transcript has 2 exons.